Molecule: ribosomal RNA, 496 nt
Filed under: uncultured microorganism
Description: bacterial SSU rRNA
Rfam family: Archaeal small subunit ribosomal RNA
Source: RNAcentral
UGUUGGGGUAACGGCCCAACAAGCCGAUAAUCGGUACGGGUUGUGGGAGCAAGAGCCCGGAGUUGGAUUCUGAGACACGAAUCCAGGCCCUACGGGGCGCAGCAGGCGCGAAAACUUUACAAUGCGGGAAACCGUGAUAAGGGAACCCCGAGUGCCUGUAUAUGCAGGCUGUCCAGGUGUCUAAAAAACACCUGAAGAAAGGGCCGGGCAAGACCGGUGCCAGCCGCCGCGGUAAUACCGGCGGCUCGAGUGGUGGCCACUUUUAUUGGGCUUAAAGCGUUCGUAGCUGGGUUGUUAAGUCUCUUGGGAAAUCUGACGGCUUAACCGUCAGGCGUCUAAGAGAUACUGGCAAUCUUGGAACCGGGAGAGGUGAGGGGUACUUCGGGGGUAGGAGUGAAAUCCUGUAAUCCUCGAGGGACCACCUGUGGCGAAGGCGCCUCACCAGAACGGCUUCGACAGUGAGGGACGAAAGCUGGGGGAGCAAACCGGAUUAGAU